Molecule: long non-coding RNA, 528 nt
Organism: Microplitis mediator
Lineage: Eukaryota; Metazoa; Arthropoda; Insecta; Hymenoptera; Braconidae
Exons: 3
Source: RefSeq, a predicted model, not a curated record
CACGCUUUCAAAAUUAUUUUAUGAUAACGCGGAAAGAAGUAACCGAUUGGUAGCAAAGACAGCGAUUAUUAUAUUGAGUAUAAAAUCGGGCCACUAUUUACUGGCUAUCGCAAAUUUCUCGUCGACUAUCUUCUAACAAGACCCAUUGUAGACUAAAUAAAAUUAUAAGACAAGAUGUUCAAGUUUACGUUUCUGAUGAUAGCUAUUGCAGUCAUCAUGGUGGCUGAUGUUUCUGCCCGUUGUAAAAGAGCAAUGAAAAAAUGUGAAACUGAAGAUGAAUGCUGCAACAAACGUUGUGAGAAAUUAGGUGAAGAACAGGUUUGUUACCCAACAGAUGAAGAAAUUGAAAGAUUGGGGCUAACAGAGCUCAAGAGUAGAAAUUAAAAAUGAACUAAUGCAGUAUCAACUUUAAAAACGAGCUCUGCGAAUUCAAAAUUAUAAAAGUAACUUUCAUUCUGUAAUUUUUUAAUUUUAUGAGCUGUUCAAAAUAUACGAGUUUUCAUUUUGAAAAAUUUUUUCCUUCAAAAA